This 468-nucleotide ribosomal RNA is filed under the name uncultured bacterium. RNAcentral describes it as "partial 16S ribosomal RNA". It matches the Rfam family "Bacterial small subunit ribosomal RNA", at positions 28 to 507 of the family's 1533-position model. The record is from RNAcentral.
GACGAACGCUGGCGGCGUGCUUAACACAUGCAAGUCGAACGGAAAGGCCCUGCUUUUGUGGGGUGCUCGAGUGGCGAACGGGUGAGUAACACGUGAGUAACCUGCCCUUGACUUUGGGAUAACUUCAGGAAACUGGGGCUAAUACCGGAUAGGAGCUCCUGCUGCAUGGUGGGGGUUGGAAAGUUUCGGCGGUUGGGGAUGGACUCGCGGCUUAUCAGCUUGUUGGUGGGGUAGUGGCUUACCAAGGCUUUGACGGGCAGCCGGCCUGAGAGGGUGACCGGCCACAAUGGGACUGAGAUACGGCCCAGACUCCUACGGGAGGCAGAAGUGGGGAAUAUUGCACCAUGGGCGGAAGCCUGAUGCAGCAACGCCGCGUGCGGGAUGACGGCCUUCGGGUUGUAAACCGCUUUCGCCUGUGACGAAGCGUGAGUGACGGUAAUGGGUAAAGAAGCACCGGCUAACUACGUG